RNAcentral lists this ribosomal RNA (530 nucleotides) under uncultured eukaryote. RNAcentral describes it as "SSU rRNA". It matches the Rfam family "Eukaryotic small subunit ribosomal RNA", at positions 21 to 549 of the family's 1831-position model. The record is from RNAcentral.
UAGUCAUAUGCUUGUCUCAAAGAUUAAGCCAUGCAUGUCUAAGCACAAGCCUAAGAAUGGUAAAGCCGCGAAUGGCUCAUUACAACAGCCAUAGUUUACUGGAUCUUACUUUCCUACUUGGAUAACUGUGGUAAUUCUAGAGCUAAUACACGCAUGAAAGCUCUGACCGUAUGGAAGGAGCGCAUUUAUUAGAACAAAACCAAUCGGGCCUUCGGGCCCGCCAAUUGGUGAAUCUGAAUAACUUUGCAGAUCGCACGGUCUCGUACCGGCGACGUAUCUUUCAAAUGUCUGCCUUAUCAACUUUAGAUGGUAGUUUACACGCCUACCAUGGUUGUAACGGGUAACGGAGAAUAAGGGUUCGACUCCGGAGAGGGAGCCUGAGAAGUGGCUACCACAUCCAAGGAAGGCAGCAGGCACGCAAAUUACCCACUCCCGGCACGGGGAGGUAGUGACGAAAAAUAACGAGGCGGUUCUCUACGAGGCCCGCCAUCGGAAUGGGUACAAUUUAAAUCCUUUAACGAGGAUCUAUU